AACGCACGAGACCUGCGGACCUGCGGAAGGAUCAUCUUUGAAUUUGAUCACCAAAUUUCCAGGGGGUCUGUGGUCCACUGAGGACUCUGGCCUUCUUUUCUUCUGGGAAUUUGCAUUCGUCUUUUGACGUCUGCAUUUCCCUAACCAAUACAACACAACAAUACACAACUUUUAACAACGGAUCUCU
This 187-nucleotide unclassified non-coding RNA is filed under the name soil metagenome. RNAcentral describes it as "partial contains 5.8S ribosomal RNA, internal transcribed spacer 2, and large subunit ribosomal RNA". The record is from RNAcentral.